UACGGGGGGGGCAAGGGUUGUUCGGAAUUACUGGGCGUAAAGGGCUCGUAGGUGGCCAACUAAGUCAGACGUGAAAUCCCUCGGCUUAACCGGGGAACUGCGUCUGAUACUGGAUGGCUUGAGUUUGGGAGAGGGAUGCGGAAUUCCAGGUGUAGCGGUGAAAUGCGUAGAUAUCUGGAGGAACACCGGUGGCGAAGGCGGCAUCCUGGACCAACACUGACACUGAGGAGCGAAAGCCAGGGGAGCAAACGGG
RNAcentral lists this ribosomal RNA (253 nucleotides) under uncultured bacterium. RNAcentral's name for it is "partial 16S ribosomal RNA". It matches the Rfam family "Bacterial small subunit ribosomal RNA", at positions 524 to 776 of the family's 1533-position model. The record is from RNAcentral.